GCUUGAUUCUGGGGGAUGGUUCUGCGGUCGCUUCUAUUUAACAUCUUUAUUAACGAUCUUGGAGGGAUUGAGUGCACCCUCAGUAAAUUUGUAGACAACACCAAGUUGGGAGGGAGUAUUAAUCUGCCAGAGGGCAGAAAGGCACUACAGAAGGACCUGGAUAGACUGGAUCAAUGGGCCAAGGUUAACAGUAUGAGUUUCAAUAGGGCCAACUGUCGGAUCCUGCGUUUUCAUCACAACAACCCCAGGCAACCCUACAGGCUUGGGGAGGAGUGGCUGGAAAGCUGCCUGAUGGAAAGGGAUCUUGGUGUACUGAUGGACAGUCUGCUGAAUAUGAGCCAGCAGUGUGCCCAGGGGCCAAGAGGCAUCCUGGCUUGUAUCACGAAUGGUGUUGUGAGCAGGACUAGGGAAGUCAUCCUGCCCCUGUACUUGGCAUUGGUGAGGCCUCAGCUCGAGGACUGUGUUCAGUUUGGGGCACCUCAGUACCGAAAGGACAUUGAGGUGCUGGAGCAGGUCCAAAGAAGGGCAAAAAGGCUUGUGAAGGCCUUGGCGAAUAUGCCCUAUGAGGAGAGACUGAAGGAACUGGGGCUGUUUAGUCUGGGGAAAAGGAGGCUGAGGGGAGACCUUAUUGCUCUCUUCCAAUAUCUGAAAGCUGCUUACAGCGAGAAUGGGGCUGGUCUCUUCUCACUGAUGACAGGUGACAGAAGGAGGGGAAAUGGCCUCAAGUUGUGCCAGGGUAAGUUUAGGUUGGAUAUCAGGAAAAACUUCUUUACUGAAAGUGUUGUUAAGCACUGGAAUAGGCUCCCCAGGGAGGUGGUUGAGUCACCACCCCUGGAUGUGUUUAAAAAUUGUUUGGAUGUGCUCAGGGACAUGAUUUAGCAGAGGGUUGUCAGAGUUAAGGUAGUAUGGUUAAGUUGUGGUUGGACUUGAUGAUCUUUAAGGUCUUUUUCAACCUGAGCAAUUCUAUGAUUCUAUGAAUCUAAGGACAGGGUGAGAGAGCUGGGGCUGUUCAGCCUGGAGAAGAGAAGGCUGCAAAGUGACCUGAGAGCAGCCUUUCAGUAUCUAAAGGGCAGCUAUAAGGAGGAAGGGGACAGGCUCUUUAGCAGGAUCUGUUGUGACAGAACAAGAGGAAAUGGUUUCA
RNAcentral lists this long non-coding RNA (1141 nucleotides) under Phasianus colchicus (ring-necked pheasant). RNAcentral describes it as "lncRNA (ENSPCLG00000001197.1)". Lineage: Eukaryota; Metazoa; Chordata; Aves; Galliformes; Phasianidae. The record is from RNAcentral.